AACGAACGCUGGCGGCAGGCUUAACACAUGCAAGUCGAACGAGCUCUUCGGAGCUAGUGGCAGACGGGUGAGUAACGCGUGGGAACCUACCUUUAGGUACGGAACAACAGUUGGAAACGACUGCUAAUACCGUAUGUGCCCUAUGGGGGAAAGAUUUAUCGCCUAAGGAUGGCCCGCGUUGGAUUAGCUAGUUGGUGGGGUAAAGGCCUACCAAGGCGACGAUCCAUAGCUGGUCUGAGAGGAUGAUCAGCCACACUGGGACUGAGACACGGCCCAGACUCCUACGGGAGGCAGCAGUGGGGAAUAUUGGACAAUGGGGGCAACCCUGAUCCAGCCAUGCCGCGUGAGUGAUGAAGGCCCUAGGGUUGUAAAGCUCUUUCAGCGAGGAGGAUAAUGACGUUACUCGCAGAAGAAGCCCCGGCUAACUUCGUGCCAGCAGCCGCCGUAAAAC
Molecule: ribosomal RNA, 451 nt
Filed under: uncultured bacterium
Lineage: Bacteria
Description: bacterial SSU rRNA
Rfam family: Bacterial small subunit ribosomal RNA
Source: RNAcentral